AUACCACCUGAGAUCAAGAAACUCCUUUUUGGAGGGAAAAUUGUUUCCCAUGAUUAAUUUUACCAUGUGUUCUGUUUUUGACAUUACUGAUGGAAUUUCU
Molecule: long non-coding RNA, 100 nt
Organism: Gopherus evgoodei (Goodes thornscrub tortoise)
Lineage: Eukaryota; Metazoa; Chordata; Testudines; Testudinidae
Exons: 3
Source: RefSeq, a predicted model, not a curated record